GGCCGGGUGGUCUAGUGGUCGGGACGUCAGCUGCGUAAGCAGAAGACGCGGGUUCGAUUCCCGCCUCGGCCA
Molecule: non-coding RNA, 72 nt
Organism: Cydia pomonella (codling moth)
Lineage: Eukaryota; Metazoa; Arthropoda; Insecta; Lepidoptera; Tortricidae
Source: the annotation of a RefSeq genome assembly